Molecule: RNA transcript, 6480 nt
Organism: Mus musculus (house mouse)
Lineage: Eukaryota; Metazoa; Chordata; Mammalia; Rodentia; Muridae
Gene: Tubgcp5
Gene name: tubulin, gamma complex component 5
Exons: 23
Source: RefSeq, marked validated
CGGAACUCUCGCGAGAACAGUCGCCACUUAGCAGAGAUCCUGAUAGGUACGCCGCGGCAAUGGCCCGGCCUAAGUCGUCCGGGAGCCGGAUGGACAGACAGCUGGAGCAUGAUGUGUGCGAGCUCGUCCGGCAGGUUACGGGGCUGCAGGACGAGGCGGACCCCAACUUCCAGCUGGCCCUGGACUUCGUCUGGUCCAACUUCAGAUUUCAUCGUUUCUUGGAUGUCAACAGUCACAAAGUAGAAAAAACAAUAGAAGGAAUUUAUGAAAAAUUCACCAUUCAUUCUGAUCUCAACAAAGCUGCUAGUUGGAAGAGAUUAACUAAGGAGUUCCUAAAUGCAUCUCUUCCCAGCACAGAGAAAAUAAAGACAGAUGCACAUUAUUCCAUACUGUCACUCCUUCUGUGUCUGUCUGAUUCUCCUUCAAACAGCAAUUAUGUGGAAACACCGAGAGAGAAAGAAGUGGAAAAGAAGGAUGAUUUUGACUGGGGGAAGUACCUGAUGGAAGGUGAAGAAAUUGGCCUUGGUCCAAAUAUUGAUACGCCGAAUUGGUCUGAAGACAGUGAUGAUGAAGAUGCACAGCAGCCCUUGAGCAGAGAAGACUCUGGGAUACAGGUAGACAGGACCCCAUUAGAAGAGCAAGACCACAACAGAAAAGGGGGGCCUCAAGUCUGCUGGGAAGAUGAGCCAGAUAGCCGGAGCUGGCUGGAACAGCAUGUAGUUCAUCAGUACUGGACAACCAGGCGCUUCCGAAUUCCACACAGUGCACAUCUGCACUCCAAUUUAGCUGCUGUCUGGGAUCAACACCUGUACAGCAGUGACCCUCUGUACGUGCCAGAUGACAGGGUGGUGGUUACUGAGACACAGGUCAUUCGGGAGACCCUGUGGUUACUUUCAGGGGUGAAAAAGAUGUUUAUAUUUCAGUUGAUAGAUGGGAAGGUAACUGUGAGAAACAAUAUUAUUGUAACUCACUUGACACAUAGCUGUUUACGAUCUGUGCUGGAACAAAUAGCAGCGUAUGGCCAGGUUGUGUUUCGGCUCCAGGAGUUCAUUGAUGAAGUCAUGGGGCACAGCUCUGAAAGUCUACCACCGGGAAAUGGCCCCAUACCUAAGAAGCAACCUGACGCUCCCUUUAGAACCUACCAGGCCUUCAUGUGGGCCCUCUACAAAUACUUCAUUAACUUCAAGGAAGAGCUUACAGACAUUGAGAAGUGUGUUAUCAGUAGUGAUACAACCAUAACACUUGCAAUAGUGGUGAACAAGUUGGCACCUCGAUUGGCGCAGCUAAAGGUCCUGGACAAAGUGUUUAGUACUGGAGUGGCAGAAGUUCCACCUGAUACUCGCAAUGUCGUCCGGGCAUCUCACCUGCUUAACACCCUGUACAAGGCCAUUCUUGAAUAUGACAAUGUUGGCGAAGCCUCUGAACAAACAGUCUCCCUCCUGUUCUCUCUCUGGGUGGAAACAGUGAGGCCCUACCUACAGACGGUAGAUGAAUGGAUCGUCCAUGGACACCUAUGGGACGGCGCAAGGGAGUUUAUCAUACAGAGGAAUAAAAACGUUCCAGUAAAUCACAGAGACUUCUGGUAUGCAACGUACACACUCUAUAGCGUAUCUGAGAAGACAGAGAAUGAAGACAAAGUGAGUGACAGUGCCAGUGCCAGCUCUGGCAGUGACCAGGGGCCCUCGAGCAGACAGCACACCAUGGUGUCCUUCCUGAAGCCUGUCCUGAAGCAGAUCAUAAUGGCUGGCAAGUCAAUGCAGCUGCUGAAGAACCUCAACUGUGCAGAGGGCCCUGCGUGCCAGGCAGCAGCCAGAGAUGCAGAAAGAAAAAGCUUAUAUACCCUCUUUCUGGAAUCUAUACAGUUACGUCUUCAACAUGGAGAAGAUUCUGCUCCACACAUUGUUAAUGAAGAUCAAACAACCAAAGAGAACCUUAUAAAGAUGCAGUCCAUUGCUGAAAGGCACCUUGAGCUAGAUGAUAUUCAUGACCCACUGUUGGCCAUCAACUUUGCAAGGUUGUAUUUGGAGCAGAGCGACUUUCACGAGAAGUUUGCUGGUGGUGACAUAUGCGUGGAUAGAUCAUCAGAGUCUGUGACCUGCCAGACUUUUGAAUUAACACUGAGGUCUUGCCUCUAUCCUCACAUUGAUAAGCAGUAUCUACAUUGCUGUGGGAAUCUCAUGCAAACCUUAAAGAGAGAUUUCAGGCUGGUGGAGUACUUGCAGGCCAUGAGGAAUUUUUUCUUGAUGGAAGGUGGAGACACCAUGUAUGACUUCUAUACUUCAAUUUUUGAUAAAAUAAGAGAAAAGGAAACCUGGCAGAAUGUGUCUUUUCUUAAUGUGCAGCUCCAAGAAGCAGUAGGACAGCGCUAUCCUGAAGACAGUUUACGUUUAUCUAUAUCUUUUGAAAAUGUUGAUACAACUAAGAAGAAACUACCCGUUCAUAUCUUAGAUGGUCUUACCCUAAGCUACAAGGUCCCAUGGCCUGUGGACAUUGUUAUAAGUGUAGAAUGUCAAAAAAUUUAUAAUCAGGUGUUCCUUCUCCUAUUGCAAAUAAAAUGGGCAAAAUACAGCCUGGAUGUUCUACUAUUUGGUGAACUGGGUAAUGCUGCUGAAAGAUCCCAAGCAAAGGAAGACAUUCCACGUGAUCAGGACACACCCUCCCAGUUUGGACCACCAAAAGAGUCAUUAAGACAGCAGAUUCAUCGCAUGUUUCUCUUAAGAGUGAAGCUCAUGCACUUUGUGAAUAGUUUACACAACUACAUCAUGACCAGGAUUCUUCACAGUACAGGGCUGGAGUUUCAGCAUCAAGUUGAGGAAGCCAAAGAUUUAGAUCAGUUGAUUAAAAUUCACUACAGGUAUUUGUCAACCAUCCAUGAUCGAUGUCUGCUGAGAGAAAAGGUCAGCUUCGUGAAAGAAGCCAUCAUGAAAGUGUUGAACUUGGCGCUCAUGUUUGCAGAAGGUUGGCAGGCAGGCCUAGGGGCUUGGCAGUAAGUAUGUGCUAUGUGAUAACCUGUAUUGUGACCAUUUCUGACUAGCUUCAUUUGAGGAGUCUUUCCACCCCCAAUCUGAGAAUGGUUCACAUAAGACUGUGACUAGGAAUUUAGAAGUAGUUCAGUGGCUUACCUACUCUGCAUAAGACCUGGAGUUCAAGCCUAUGUUCCAGCAGUACAUAGAAUUUAGUGACACUAGAAAGCAUCAGGAAAGUCAGUUUCCUUAUCAGCACAAGCAAUUUAAAAAACUAAGGUCUUUUCGUUAAAAUAAGCAAACAUCUGGGCUGGAGAGAUGGCUCAGCAAUUAAGAGCACUGGCUGCCCUUCCCGAGGUCCUGAGUUCAAUUCCCAGCAACCACAUGAUGGCUCACAACCAUCUCAUAAUGAAAUCUGAUGCCCCCUUCUGGUAUGCAGGUACACAUGCAGUUAUACAUUAAAUAAAUAAAACUUAAAAAAAAUAAGCCAACAUUCUUAGAUUAUCUGCAUGGCUCAAUUUCUUAUUGUACACACGUUCAAGCAUGGAGAAGUUUAAAGGGCAGCAUGACACGUCCGUGUGACUCACCUCAGCAGUUUCUGAGGAGGACCAGUUCUGGACCGUGAGCCCCACCGCUUCACACUUGCUGAAACAUUUUAAAGUAAAUGAUGGGUAUCAUGCUGGGUUACUUUCCAAAUUUCUAUGUUUGUAAGCUCUAAAAGAUGAUGUAUAUGUUAUUUUUUCACUUGUGUCAUUUAGAAUGGCAAACUACUUAAAGUCAAUAAACAGAAAAGAGCCAGUCUACAGGAACAUCUCCAGUUUUUUUGUUGUUGUUGUUGUUUGUUUGUGUUUGUGUCUGUGCUAGGGUUUGAACUCAGGACCUUACUCACGUGUGCUAUGUAAAUGCUUUACUGGGCUACACUACCAGCCUGGCUAUCUUCUUAUGUCAAUUUGAAUAUAUAGUUCAAUGCUUAGCCUCUGUCUCCUUUAUAAAAUAUAUGCAGUGAUAAUUUGCUGAAAUGGAGCUUCAUGUCUUGUGGCUUAGGGUUUUCUUGUGUGCUUGUAUGAGGAGUAUAUUCACACAAAUUUGUGAGGAUGCAUGUCUCUUUGCACAUGGAGGCCAGAAGAGUUGUCUGGGUAUCUUCUCUGUUAUCCUCCAUAGACUCCUCUGAGACAGACUCUUUCCCUGAGCCUGGGACUUACUUUUCUCAGCCAGAGUGGAAGGCAGUAAAGCCCAGCAAGCCUGCUGUCUCCUCCUCCUCAAACUGUGGCUGCAGGCCUAUGAGAGGCCAUUUGUAGACGCUGGGGUCCAAACUCUAGACCUCAGGGCUGCACACAAACACUCUUAAGCACUGAGCACCUCUCCAACCCUUGCGCAGCAUUUAUAGCAGUCGGUAUUUAGUCCAUGCUAAUCACGAGGGGAGUGCACCUUAGUGCUGCUGCCAUUCAGAGCCUAGACUGGAGCCCUGUGACGGGGAGGGCGUUCCUAAGGGAAGGCCUAAAAACACUAGUGUCGGCUGGGGAGGUGACUCAGCACACGCAAGCCUGACAGCCUGGAUUCAAGCCUCAAAACCCACAGAAAGGUGGAGAAAGAACUCAUUUUGUAAAGCUAUCUGCUGCCAUCAUCACGCAGAUAGCACACACAUAAACACACAUUACUCACAGACAUGCAAAUACAAAGAAAAAAAGCAGACUAGGAGUGUAGCUCUGUGGUGAAGCACUUGCCUAGGAUCGCCCAUGUCCUGCCUGAGUUCUGUUCCCCACAACAGAAAGCAAGAAAAUAGACACCUUCCUGACUAUAUGUCCUCUCAAAGUUUACAAAACUACUUUAAUCUGUAACACUUACCUAGAUGAGGGGUCACUAUUCCAGAUGCUGUACUGAAUUCAUUUCAGUAAAGUUUUCAUUUCUACAACAAAUUGUCAGCAAAAAGCAGGGAGGAGGACGUUAAGCAUUUCAGAGCUGGUAUGGGGACAUAAAUAAAUGUUUGCCUAUUUAGAAAGGGGAGGCUGUAAGGUCAUGAGUUAAAGGCUCUGUGCACAGUAAUAUUUAUGAAAGGUUUGUGUUCUAUGAAAUUUGCUUCUAAGUAAGUACUGUGGUAAGGUUGAGGAGGGUUUGUUGGCUUUAGGUAGAUAACUGCCAGAGAGGGUUGAUGAGCUGCGCGCGCGCACACACACGCACACACACACGCACACACAUACGCUCACCCCAGAAAGGAAACUAUGACAUCAAAGUAAUAAAUACACCAGAGUCAAACUUGGUAAGGCCAUGAGUGCACACAGGUUAUUGAAAGGAGUAUGGAUGAUAGGUCACUUAGAAGACCAAGAAUAACCAAAAUAUAUCAGCUAUGCCAGCAAAAGGGUCCCAAGGAUUGGGUGACGAUUCAUCAGAGCAUCGCCCCAUUCCAGGAUCCCUCUGCAGGACCUGCCGCCAGCUUGACAGUCUCGUCCCUGUCCCUCCUGGGCAGGGUCUCCUCCGCUAGCACUUACUACCUUCUGUAAAGGUGGGGAAGGGACAUCAAGAAGCUUUCUAGUUUCCACCUCCCACCAUGGGAUUUUAUUUACUUCAUGAGUUCCUAGCACUCCCCUCUCUCUGUGAGCUGUGUGUGUGUUGGGGGGAGAGGGGGUGAUACCAAGAAAUGUGUCAAUUUGGAGGAAACCCCUGUACAACAUGAACAUAUUAUGAAGUGUUUUCCUGUGUCUGUUUUGGAUCUGAUUUCAAGGCCGGCCUGGUCUACAGAGCGAGUUUCAGGACAACCAGGGCUACAUAGAGAAACUUUUGUCUUACGAGGGGAAAGAAAGAAUGGAAUCUAUAGAGAAGAUGGAAUCUGACUUUAAAAACUGCCACAUGUUUCUGGUAACCAUCUUAAAUAAAGCUGUGUGUAGAGGAUCUUUUCCCCACUUGGAAUCUCUUGCACUGUCGCUCAUGGCUGGCAUGGAGCAAAGUUAAAUAUCUCUAAUUUAACAAGUACCUUAGACUUCAGCAUCAUCCAUGUACAUAUUCACUGUUUGCAGCUGAGAAAUAAGAAUCUGUUUAUUUUUAUUUAUUUUUAUUGUUAAACCUGUCUAGACAAAUGGAUUGUAGGUAUUUUUCUGAAGAUUAUUAUCGAGUAUGUAGAGUUAUGUAUAUAAUAUUGUAUAUAUAAUUGUAAAAUAUAUAGGAGUUGUAUAAAAGUAGACUACUAAUAUUUCUUUUCUUCUAAAAGAUUGACUUAUUUUAAUGUAUAUGAGUAUUUUGCCUGCUUGUAUAUAUGUACAUACCUGGUGCUCAGAAGCAAUAAAAGAACAUCAGAUACCCUGUAAGUUUUACAUUUCCUCUUACCUAAAAAUUGUCUUAGAUUUCACUAUCCUGGAUGUAUUUUUAUGUGCAUAGAAAAUCCCAAAAGAAAAAUAACAACCAAUAUCAAUAUAUAAACUGUACUUUACUUAAGGCCAGCUGUUAUAUAUCGAUUUUUGGCAUUUAUUAGCUAACCAGUAAUAUCUCAAAUAAAAGUAUGUAUAUCAUCCCAUUUUUCUACCUA